This 2900-nucleotide ribosomal RNA is filed under the name Escherichia coli. Its description in RNAcentral is "bacterial LSU rRNA". It matches the Rfam family "Bacterial large subunit ribosomal RNA". The record is from RNAcentral. Lineage: Bacteria; Pseudomonadati; Pseudomonadota; Gammaproteobacteria; Enterobacterales; Enterobacteriaceae.
UAAGCGACUAAGCGUACACGGUGGAUGCCCUGGCAGUCAGAGGCGAUGAAGGACGUGCUAAUCUGCGAUAAGCGUCGGUAAGGUGAUAUGAACCGUUAUAACCGGCGAUUUCCGAAUGGGGAAACCCAGUGUGAUUCGUCACACUAUCAUUAACUGAAUCCAUAGGUUAAUGAGGCGAACCGGGGGAACUGAAACAUCUAAGUACCCCGAGGAAAAGAAAUCAACCGAGAUUCCCCCAGUAGCGGCGAGCGAACGGGGAGCAGCCCAGAGCCUGAAUCAGUGUGUGUGUUAGUGGAAGCGUCUGGAAAGGCGCGCGAUACAGGGUGACAGCCCCGUACACAAAAAUGCACAUGCUGUGAGCUCGAUGAGUAGGGCGGGACACGUGGUAUCCUGUCUGAAUAUGGGGGGACCAUCCUCCAAGGCUAAAUACUCCUGACUGACCGAUAGUGAACCAGUACCGUGAGGGAAAGGCGAAAAGAACCCCGGCGAGGGGAGUGAAAAAGAACCUGAAACCGUGUACGUACAAGCAGUGGGAGCACGCUUAGGCGUGUGACUGCGUACCUUUUGUAUAAUGGGUCAGCGACUUAUAUUCUGUAGCAAGGUUAACCGAAUAGGGGAGCCGAAGGGAAACCGAGUCUUAACUGGGCGUUAAGUUGCAGGGUAUAGACCCGAAACCCGGUGAUCUAGCCAUGGGCAGGUUGAAGGUUGGGUAACACUAACUGGAGGACCGAACCGACUAAUGUUGAAAAAUUAGCGGAUGACUUGUGGCUGGGGGUGAAAGGCCAAUCAAACCGGGAGAUAGCUGGUUCUCCCCGAAAGCUAUUUAGGUAGCGCCUCGUGAAUUCAUCUCCGGGGGUAGAGCACUGUUUCGGCAAGGGGGUCAUCCCGACUUACCAACCCGAUGCAAACUGCGAAUACCGGAGAAUGUUAUCACGGGAGACACACGGCGGGUGCUAACGUCCGUCGUGAAGAGGGAAACAACCCAGACCGCCAGCUAAGGUCCCAAAGUCAUGGUUAAGUGGGAAACGAUGUGGGAAGGCCCAGACAGCCAGGAUGUUGGCUUAGAAGCAGCCAUCAUUUAAAGAAAGCGUAAUAGCUCACUGGUCGAGUCGGCCUGCGCGGAAGAUGUAACGGGGCUAAACCAUGCACCGAAGCUGCGGCAGCGACGCUGAUGCGUUGUUGGGUAGGGGAGCGUUCUGUAAGCCUGCGAAGGUGUGCUGUGAGGCAUGCUGGAGGUAUCAGAAGUGCGAAUGCUGACAUAAGUAACGAUAAAGCGGGUGAAAAGCCCGCUCGCCGGAAGACCAAGGGUUCCUGUCCAACGUUAAUCGGGGCAGGGUGAGUCGACCCCUAAGGCGAGGCCGAAAGGCGUAGUCGAUGGGAAACAGGUUAAUAUUCCUGUACUUGGUGUUACUGCGAAGGGGGGACGGAGAAGGCUAUGUUGGCCGGGCGACGGUUGUCCCGGUUUAAGCGUGUAGGCUGGUUUUCCAGGCAAAUCCGGAAAAUCAAGGCUGAGGCGUGAUGACGAGGCACUACGGUGCUGAAGCAACAAAUGCCCUGCUUCCAGGAAAAGCCUCUAAGCAUCAGGUAACAUCAAAUCGUACCCCAAACCGACACAGGUGGUCAGGUAGAGAAUACCAAGGCGCUUGAGAGAACUCGGGUGAAGGAACUAGGCAAAAUGGUGCCGUAACUUCGGGAGAAGGCACGCUGAUAUGUAGGUGAAGUCCCUCGCGGAUGGAGCUGAAAUCAGUCGAAGAUACCAGCUGGCUGCAACUGUUUAUUAAAAACACAGCACUGUGCAAACACGAAAGUGGACGUAUACGGUGUGACGCCUGCCCGGUGCCGGAAGGUUAAUUGAUGGGGUCAGCGCAAGCGAAGCUCUUGAUCGAAGCCCCGGUAAACGGCGGCCGUAACUAUAACGGUCCUAAGGUAGCGAAAUUCCUUGUCGGGUAAGUUCCGACCUGCACGAAUGGCGUAAUGAUGGCCAGGCUGUCUCCACCCGAGACUCAGUGAAAUUGAACUCGCUGUGAAGAUGCAGUGUACCCGCGGCAAGACGGAAAGACCCCGUGAACCUUUACUAUAGCUUGACACUGAACAUUGAGCCUUGAUGUGUAGGAUAGGUGGGAGGCUUUGAAGUGUGGACGCCAGUCUGCAUGGAGCCGACCUUGAAAUACCACCCUUUAAUGUUUGAUGUUCUAACGUUGACCCGUAAUCCGGGUUGCGGACAGUGUCUGGUGGGUAGUUUGACUGGGGCGGUCUCCUCCUAAAGAGUAACGGAGGAGCACGAAGGUUGGCUAAUCCUGGUCGGACAUCAGGAGGUUAGUGCAAUGGCAUAAGCCAGCUUGACUGCGAGCGUGACGGCGCGAGCAGGUGCGAAAGCAGGUCAUAGUGAUCCGGUGGUUCUGAAUGGAAGGGCCAUCGCUCAACGGAUAAAAGGUACUCCGGGGAUAACAGGCUGAUACCGCCCAAGAGUUCAUAUCGACGGCGGUGUUUGGCACCUCGAUGUCGGCUCAUCACAUCCUGGGGCUGAAGUAGGUCCCAAGGGUAUGGCUGUUCGCCAUUUAAAGUGGUACGCGAGCUGGGUUUAGAACGUCGUGAGACAGUUCGGUCCCUAUCUGCCGUGGGCGCUGGAGAACUGAGGGGGGCUGCUCCUAGUACGAGAGGACCGGAGUGGACGCAUCACUGGUGUUCGGGUUGUCAUGCCAAUGGCACUGCCCGGUAGCUAAAUGCGGAAGAGAUAAGUGCUGAAAGCAUCUAAGCACGAAACUUGCCCCGAGAUGAGUUCUCCCUGACUCCUUGAGAGUCCUGAAGGAACGUUGAAGACGACGACGUUGAUAGGCCGGGUGUGUAAGCGCAGCGAUGCGUUGAGCUAACCGGUACUAAUGAACCGUGAGGCUUAACCU